GCAGUUCUUCGUCAACCAGUUUUUGAGACUGAGUGGCAUUUGAAUGGUCUCCUAUUUGCAAACCAUCUCCUAAAUCCCUGGAUCAGUUUGAGCCUUACUAAGGAAGCACUCUUUGAACCAGGUUUUUCAGUGGUCUACUCGUUUUCUUCCUAGGUUGCGUCUGGAGGUUGAAGAUGAAACAAACCCCUUCCCAUGAUGGUACUAUUAACUGUUUUGCCCUCAGCUUUAAUCUUUAAUCUCAUAAAUCCUUAUUUUGCUUUUAGUUCCUAGCUUACCCUUUCUACUAGCACAUUAUAAUACUUUGCUUAUGUUUUGGAGUUCUAACAAAUUACAACUUUGCCAAUCUUAUGAACUUCAACUUAUUUACAGAAUUGCCACCCUCUUUGUAGACAUUGAUUUAUUUACUGUUUUGCCACUUGAACUUUGGUUAUGGGUGUUUCCUUGUUUUGGUGGGCCCACAAGCUAUCCAAUAAGGGUAACUCUGACCCGGAUUGCACCAAGAAGUUUAGAGAGAUCACACACUAGAAGAGUCACGAUAGAGAGAGAAAACUGCUGGAAUACCUACAGAACAGUAAUGGAAGAAAAAGAAGAAAAGAAGGAAUAUAGUGGUCUGCAGUUGGGCAUCACCACCCGCCCUCCCUCCAAAGGCUUCACCAUCUCAGCUGCAUGCGGCAACUGAAUCACCACAGUGCACACACACACACACAGAGUUCCUUUUGUCUUAACUUCCAAAUUGAAGCUAAAUCACCGCAGUGCACACGCUCACAUAGGAUUUUUUAUCAAAACAUCCACAUCAUUUAACGAAUGAGUUAUUACGAAAAUAGAAACCCCCUAUGCGUGGGGAAUUACUUGGCUUCCAAGAAAGCUUUAGAAUGGAAACCUUCUAUAGAGGAUCCAUUGCUAGUACAUUGAAAAUAGAAAGCAAUAAAAAUAGAGCUGUUAAAAUAUGUACCACGAUAUGGGGAGUGUCUCUAUCGUGUAUGAGUUUUACCUUCCUGUUUUAGUUUAUUUAUUUCCCUAGUUAGGUUAGAUCGCUACUUACUAAUUAGGAUAGAUUUCCUAUUUUAUUUUGCUUGUGGCACAAGGACUUGGUUUCCUAGUUUGAUUCUACUUCUUUUGGAGUUAAUAAAUAUUGAUGGUAGGGGGGGACUGAGAUUAUAAUUGGCUGCUCCCCUCUUACAGUCUCUCUUCUCUUCUUCUCUCUCAAUCUCUUUCUCUCCUCUUACUCUCUCAAGUUACUGGUUACAGAUCUUGGUUUCGUAACAUGGCAUCAGAGCUGUAACCAGUAGCUGUUUUGAGAGUCGUUCUAAGAUCUCAUGCUAUUGUGAAGAGUUCUUAGAAAAAUAAGAACUAGGGUUUCAAUGAUUUUGUUCGUGUAAGUCGUCGGUUCCUUUUGCUUAGUUUGCUGGUUCGUGUCUGGUGUGAGAGGUAUCUCACUUGAUUAAAAUUAUAUCUGCUACUGCCGAGAGGUUGAAGGACACCCAUUUGUCUUUGCUUGACCAAAAAAAAAAAAAAAAAAAAAAAGGUUUGCUUGAGUCAAAGGUUUGCUUCUGCUGGUUCGAUCGUCUCGACUUGAUGCUUGUGUUUUCUGAUUUGGAAGUCUUGCUGUCGAAGUCUGAUUCUACUGCUCGGUUAUCGUUUUGAAGCAAUCGUCACUGCCCAAGUCGACGUUCGAUUUCUACUGGUUUCGAUUGGUUCUGCAAAUCUGUUAUGCAUACAGUAGCUUCUGGUUGAUCGGUUUCCUGGUUAUCAAAACCUAGUCAAUUAUUCUUGGUUCUUCUAUUUGCUUGUUGAAGUUCGUGGUUACUUGGUUCUCUGCUGCUGAAGGUCUCUCACUGCCAUAAGACUUUCUGUAGUCGCUUGGUUUGUUGGUGCUGGUGUCGAUUGAAGAAGUCCGUUGUCUCUCUCACUGAUUUCCGCCAUGGUUCUUGCUACCACCAUCAGCAGCUUCAGGUUUUCCGCAUGCUGGUCGAAGGGUGAAGAUAAACCUUGUGUUCGAACCAGCGUUACAAUCUUCUCUUUGCCUCUGCUAAAGUCGUUGAUUGGCUACUGAUUUGCUGUUAUGCGUGUCUAGUUGUUGAUCCCAAAUCGAACUACUGGUGGCAGAUUUUCUGCCAUGCUUUUGGCUGAAGCACCUGAUGCUGCUACUUGCUUACCCCGGCACCCGAUACUGGAACUUGUUAUCUCGGCACCCGAUGCUGCUGCUUGCUUACCCCGGCACUCCAAUGCUGCUACUUGCUUACUUCGGCACUUGAUGUUGCUACUUGGUCCCCAACAACCUGAUGUCGAUACAUGCUUACCUCCGCAACCUGUUGUUGCUACUUGCUACCUAAUACCUGCCUUCCUUGGGAAGCGCCUUUGAUACUACUGACUUUAUGAUGGGGAUGAUUGGAGUUCUCUCUGUGCUCUCUAGUGUCUACUACUACUACUCAAGACUGGUGUUAUGUUUAAUUUUCUAUUCUUGUUGGUCCAAGCUGGAAGUUUUCUUUUGAUAGAUGUAUACUCCAGCUUGAGGGGGAGUGUUAAAAUAUGGACCAUGAUAUGGGGAGUGUCCCUAUCGUGUAUGGGUUUUACCUUCCUGUUUUAGUUUAUUUCUUUCCUUAGUUAGGAUAGAUCUCUAUUUACUAAUUAGGAUAGAUUUCUUAACUUAUUUUGCUUGUGGCACACUUAGUUUCCUAGUUUGAUUGUACUUCUUUUGGAGUCAAUAAAUAUUGAUGGUAGGGGGGGACUGAGAUUAUAAUCGGCUGCUCCCCUCUUGCAGUC
Molecule: long non-coding RNA, 2763 nt
Organism: Macadamia integrifolia
Lineage: Eukaryota; Viridiplantae; Streptophyta; Magnoliopsida; Proteales; Proteaceae
Exons: 2
Source: RefSeq, a predicted model, not a curated record